RNAcentral lists this ribosomal RNA (639 nucleotides) under Gymnosporangium sp. CPO 18.02. Its description in RNAcentral is "eukaryotic LSU rRNA". It matches the Rfam family "Eukaryotic large subunit ribosomal RNA", at positions 48 to 669 of the family's 3401-position model. Lineage: Eukaryota; Fungi; Basidiomycota; Pucciniomycetes; Pucciniales; Gymnosporangiaceae. The record is from RNAcentral.
AAGCGGAGGAAAAGAAACUAACAAGGAUUCCCCUAGUAACGGCGAGUGAAGAGGGAUCAGCCCAAAAUUGUAAUCUGGCUCUUUCAGAGUCUGAGUUGUAAUUUUAAGAACUGUUUUCUGCUCUGGACCAUGUACAAGUCUGUUGAAAUGCAGCAUCAUUGAGGGUGAGAAUCCUGUUCAUGAUAUGGACUACCAGGGCUUUAUGAUACAGUCUCUAAGAGUCGAGUUGUUUGGGAAUGCAGCUCAAAGUGGGUGGUAAAUUCCAUCUAAGGCUAAAUAUUGGUGAGAGACCGAUAGCAAACAAGUACCGUGAGGGAAAGAUGAAAAGAACUUUGGAAAGAGAGUUAACAGUACGUGAAAUUGUUAAAAGGGAAACAGUUGAAGUUAGACUUGUUGUUGUUGGUUCAGCUCUUUAAGGGUGUUUUCUGAUAAUUAACAAACCAACAUCAAUCUUUGGGUGUUGGAUAAGGGUCAUUGAAAUGUAGCAGUCUUGGCUGUGUUAUAGUCUUUGACUUGGAUACAAUGCUUGGGAUUGAGGAAUGCAGUAAGCCAUUUAUUUGGUGGGACAAUUUAUUGUUCUUCUUACUGAGGAUGUUGGUGCAAUAGCUUUAAUUGACCCGUCUUGAAACAACGGACCAA